GUAGGUGGCAAGCGUUGUCAGGGAAUUAUUGGGGCGUAAAGCGCGCGCAGGCGGUUCUUUAAGUCUGAUGUGAAAGCCCACGGGCUCAACCGUGGAGGGUCAUUGGAAACUGGAGAACUUGAGUACAGAAGAGGAAAGCGGAAUUCCACGUGUAGCGGUGAAAUGCGUAGAGAUGUGGAGGAACACCAGUGGCGAAGGCGGCUUUCUGGUCUGUAACUGACGCUGAGGCGCGAAAGCGUGGGGAGCAAACAGGAUUAGAUACCCUGGUAGUCCACGCCGUAAACGAUGAGUGCUAAGUGUUAGGGGGUUUCCGCCCCUUAGUGCUGCAGCUAACGCAUUAAGCACUCCGCCUGGGGAGUACGGCCGCAAAGGCUGA
Molecule: ribosomal RNA, 376 nt
Filed under: uncultured organism
Description: partial 16S ribosomal RNA
Rfam family: Bacterial small subunit ribosomal RNA
Source: RNAcentral